This 624-nucleotide small RNA is filed under the name human gut metagenome. The record is from RNAcentral.
AAGGAUAAGGUGGCGCAGUAUCCUAGUCGGGCCGUGCAGUUCCUAAGACGGGCCUAAAAAUCCGUUAAAGGGCACAUCGAUGAAGUUCCUGGUGCAGGCUUUGGACGCCCAGUCCGGGGUUUGUGCUGGGAGUUAAGGUUUAGGGGCACCCUGCAAUGGCAUGCGGGGCCUGUCCCCUUUUCCGUGGAGACCUGCUCUUGUGCAAAUCAGCAGCAGCGUUUUUUCGCUCAUGGCUGUUUGUACGAAGCGGGGUGAAACCUGUUAGGCGAUACUACCUUUGUGUUGCGAACAGAGUAGCCUGCCUUGCGUGGGUAUGGUGGAUACCGGAUCAGACAGGGAGGCAUCGGCCAAUGCCUCCCCGUUAUCGCUGGUUGAAACCAUGCCUGCAAAAGAGGCUAAGAAUUGUUUCGGUCUGCCGGGGAAAACCCCUAGGCUGUUCAUUUCCUGAGAUACCUGCGGGAUUGCAGUGCGGACUUAGUGGCAAUUCAGUCCCGCCGAUGGCGACGCGGCGGAUAGGGCUUGAAAGGGAAACCGCCGAUUUGGCGACAUUUCGGCAGCCCUAUGGGAAAUCCUACUGAACCUAUGCCGCAGAAUUUACCGCAGGUGUUGCCACCUUCUAUUUCU